RNAcentral lists this long non-coding RNA (1149 nucleotides) under Struthio camelus australis. RNAcentral describes it as "lncRNA (ENSSCUG00000009177.1)". The record is from RNAcentral. Lineage: Eukaryota; Metazoa; Chordata; Aves; Struthioniformes; Struthionidae.
AAAUGAGAUUUUUAAGAAAAGUCUGUGUAGAUUUCUUUCAGGCUUUAUAUCUAAUUAUCUUAAUCAGCUUCUCAAUUCAAGGGUCUAAUUUCCAUUGCAGUUAAUGAAUUGCACUUAUACAUGGUGACUAAACUAUCUUGCUAUUUUUUAGGGUAUAUUCUAAAGACUCCUAAUGAGAAAAAUAGCCUCAGAGUUCUCCAGCUUUGUUUUUCCAAACAUAAUGCCUGUAUUUAGUAUAUAUUCUACAGAAAAUGCGAGUGAUAGGGAUUAGUAAUUCAUGAAUGAUGUGGCCCAUUUACAGUCUUAACAACACAGAAUUCACUGUGGCAUAGAGAACAGAAAAUGCCCUUGACUUUCAUGCGUUUAAAACAAAGAGAAAUAAAGGCCUAAUCCAGGCUAGAAACACAAAUACUCCCUAGGUUCGGUCAGCACUGAUGAAAAUGUUUAAUAUUAGCUAAGAAAUAAGUUGAAAAUUGAAUUUUAAAAGGCUGAAAAAUAAUAAAUAAAAGCACAAAAUUAUUAAAAUGUUGUAGCUGAAAAUGAAGUGGUAUUGUGCAAUAAAGCUGUCAUUAGCCAAAAGAACUACUUUAGAACAACCUCCCCAAAUGCAUGGUUUGUAUUUGUUUGUCAUUGCUUUAAAUCUGUCUCUGUCUUUUUUCAAGACAGAGAACAUUGUCACGGUGAGCAGCCCCUAGAGUCUGCAGUAUUUAUUAGCAGUUGGUCAUUUUCACAUACGGUUUUCUUUUAAAAUAAAUCUCAAUGCCAAGCACAGGAUCGCUGAUCCCACAAGGCUCAUUUAGAAAUGGGUGACCUUACAUUUUAAGCUUGACACCCUUGAUGGGGAGGCAAAGGAGAGUAGACCGGCGCUCCUAAACAAGGUGUCUUGUGUUCUGUAUGUUACCAGCAGAGGAAGGUAGACUUCUCCAGCAGCUGGCCGGAGGUGCCCCAGGCCCUGCAGUGACGGCCGUUGGCUCUGGGCGAGGAUGGCAGAGCGUACUCUACGCUGCCACCAAAGGACAUGAAGCCAGGCAGCCGCCGCUGUGUCAUGUGGCGCUCAAGUGCUGCAACAUCUCCAUGCCUUGCUAUUUGUAUGGUCCUCCAGUGCCAGCAAAGGAACACCAGUUUCUUAGAAAACAACCUGAUAUUUAA